CUGUUGGAGGUGCAGAAUGGUAACAUCCAAUGCUGCCAAAGAUUCCCCACUGCCUUGAUUCCACAUUAUUUAUUCUGGGAGAUAGUGUUUUUAGAAUCCGGCCUCUGCACUUUCCCCCCUUAUUUAUCUGCAAUAGUCCACAUUUCAAAGCACCUUAAUUUCAUACAGGUUGGUUCACUUAUCUUCUGUAUCUAUUUGUACAUUCUAGUUUUUGUUUAUGCCUCUCUUUCUUUUUGUUCAAAGUGGCCAAACUUGUCCUUCAUGGCCUAUUCCAGAUAUUCACUGACUGUCAGAGCUAAAAAAGUAUCUCAUUCACAGGAGCAACAGGGCCACAUCUACUAGAUUGUUCUGUGUUACUUUGUUAUGUGCAUACUAUUUGUACUCAACUUAAUGCUUAGCAUCUUAGGUAGAAAUUAUUUAUUAUGCUUUUUUACUCCCUUUCAACACUUGGCUUAGGACUGACCAUGCAGUGAGUAUUUAGUGAAUUUUGUGGUGUGAAUUCUCAGUGCAUGUUUAAUUCCUGCUUACAGGAGCCUCUUCUCUUUAGAGGAACAAGCACAGUUCUGAGAGAUGAAUUUCCAGUUAAGUUGUAAAUGCAGAAGUAUUAUGAACGUUGUUCAGUUUGUGGUUCUUAAUAUGAAAUGUAUCUCAAGUGUUUGCUCAUUAAUGUCACAUUUGUAGUUACAGUGUGUGGAUAUACCCAGUUUUAGUUGUCUAAAACAAACCUCAUGUUGGGACAAUUGUUCUAAAGAUUCAAUGACUAAAGAUUACCAGGAAAGAUAGUCUCUGGUCUACAGAGUCAAAAUAUCCCAUUCAAUAAAUGUUUAUUAAAAUGAGAUAUCAUGUGAGAUGUCACGGAUUUACAAACGUGAAUCAGAUAACAGCAUAACCAUAAAGACCUUAGAAUCCAGUAGAGAAGAUUCUAAUAAGAAAUAAGAAAAAACAAAACACAGCACAAAUAUAAGGCAAACAGUGUCAUUAGAAUGAUGUAUUGUGAAUCUGUGAAGUCCCUCAACUGGGGGGCCCUGGUCAGUUUAUCAGUGAGGAGAUAGCACUUUAGAGCCUCCUGGGUCUUGAAAAAGGGACAGGCUUUUAUAAAAUGAGCAUGAUGGGACUUCCAAGCAAAAGAGAUUUCAUGAAGUCCCAGAAGAGGGAAUCCAAGGGACUUUUCAAAAAUCAUGGGGAUUAGGUUUAUAUCACAGGGUCCAUGGUAAGGUGCAGUGGGAUACACAAAUGAACAUUUAGAUUGAACCAGAUCCUGAAGAAUCUCAGAUGGGAAGUUGAUGAGUUUUCGGUUUAUUUCAUUCUCACCCUUAAGAUACAAUUGAGUUACUGAAUAUUUUCAAAUCAAGGGUAGAUGAUUAGAUCUAAAAAUGCCUUGUCUAAUAUGGAAGCUACUAGACACACAUAGUUACUUGAAAUUAAAUUAAUUAAAAUGAGUUAAAACUCAGUUCCCCAAUUGCAAUAGAUGUAUUCCAAGUGCUCUGUAGCCUGAUGUGGCCUAAUGCCUACCAUAUUGGGCAGUAAAAAACAUGUCUAUCCACUCUGCAAUUUCUCCUGGACACUAUUACACUAGAUUUUAGGCUCUGACACCAGUAUAAAGAAGAAUUUAUGGUGUUUGGGGAGCAGAGAUGGGAAAGAAGCAGUGUAACUGAUAAGAUGUUCUCAAAGUAAUCCAGGUAAAAGGUAACUGGCAGAUGAACUAGAGGAAGGGCAAUGUGGGGAGAGCUGAGAAGACACGGACACAUGUUAGAUCUACACAGAGGAUCCUACUAACUGAUCACCUGUUAGGAGUGAAGCGAGGGAAAUUGAUACUCUAAAACCCCAAGUGACCGGGUAGGCAGUACUGCCAUUUAUUGAAUUAAGGGGAAAAAUAAAAGGAGUUAGUUGACAGAGAUUAUUGAAAUAAUGAGUACGGUCUAGUAAUGCUGGAUUUGAGUUUUCCUGAUUCAGGUAGAUUUCUAAGAGACUGGAAAGAAUAUGUUGGAGUUUGUGAUAGAAGAAUAUAUUUAUACCCAGUAUUUGUUACAUAGAGAUGGUAGUUAAAAAACAUUAUAAAAAGAGAGAGAGAGAAUAGGGUCAAAGAAAACACCCAGAGGUAUUUGAUUAAAGUUUAUUUCCCUUCUGUUCAAUUCUCAAUAAAUUAAUCUAGGUCAAAAUAUCAAGGUUUAUGUAUUGUUUCUGAUUAUUUUAAUAUUAUUGUGGUUUCUUAAGAGUGAGUUUGCAUGCUCAGCAGCUCAAAGGCUAGUUUAUUUCUUCAAGGUACCAUAUGUACAUUUUGCCAAAUAGAGGCACAUGGUUUGAGAUACUGAACUUCUUGUGCCUUUUUUAAGGUUUAUUUAUUUAUUUAUUUGACAGAGAGAGAAAGAGAGAGGGUGAGAGAGCACAAGCAGGGGGAGCAGCAGAAAGAGGGAGAGGGAGAAGCAGGCUCCCUGCAGAACAGGGAUCCCAAUGUGGGGCUCGAUCCCACUACCCUGGGAUCAUGACCUGAGCCAAAGGCAGAUGCUUUGCCAACUGAGCCGCCCAAGCACCCCGAUACUGAAUUUUUUUGUAUAGUACAAAUGACUAAACUUGACCCAGGAAAUGGAGUGGUAUUUUCAGUACAGUCAAUUUUUUUUCGAUUAAAAAUUAAUAAAACUUGAAAUAACAAUACAUAUUAUUCAUUUAUUUCUUUUUUUAAAGAUUUAUUUAUUUGAGAGGGAGAGAGAGAGCGCGCAGGGGGUAGGGGCAAAGGGAGAGGGAGAAAGAGUCUUAAGCAGACUCUGCGCUAAGCAUGGAGCCUAAUGCAGAGCUCAAUCUCACGACUCAGAGAUGACCUGAGUGGAAACCAAGAGUCAGAUGCUUAAUCCAUUGUACCACCCAGGUUCCCCAUUACUCACUGAUUUCUAAUUGCUAAAUUUGUAUCCAUAUAUCCUUAGAUGAGAUGCUUUUAUUCAUUUAAUUAAUUCAGUGGAUAUUUACUGAUUAUUGAUUAUUUACAAGAUGGACAAAUACAGGAGAUACAAGGACUUCUACAAUUCAGACGCUUGCUCACAAGGAUUCACAUUUCAGUGAAAGAACAGAUAGAAACACAAAUAAUCACAACACAGUGUGAUCAGUGCUAGGGAAGUAUCAAAGGAGGAAAGCAUUAAGAUCUAUGUGGGCACAGAGGAAGGAAAAAUUGUCUGAGGCAGUCAGGAAAGGUUCUCAGAGAAAGUGACUUCUGAGGUAUCUGUCAAAGAAUGAGGAGUAGAGCACAUUCAGAGACACCACAUGUGGAAGACCUUGGGUGGCUUACCAUAGUGUAGGAUCCAGAGAAGGUAGAGUCCAGAGAAUCUGAGGCCAGAUUCUGGUCAGCUUUUUAUGCCAUUCUAAAGAGUUUGGGUUAAUUUUGGAGGAAAUAUCAUAAAGGAGUAUGGUUCAAGAUUUAAAGGGAUGAGAUUGGUAUUGUUGAGUUCCAUUUUAGAAAGAUACCCAGCAGCAGUGGGCCAGGUGGAUGCUCAUUGAGAAGUGAUAUUGGAAGAAACACCAGUUAGAAACCUGCUGGUGUAAACCAGACUUGAGGGGGGCUGGUAAGAAAUUGAUUCUAAUGAUAUUUAGG
Long non-coding RNA from Ursus thibetanus thibetanus, 3580 nucleotides. NCBI's taxonomy places the organism in Eukaryota, Metazoa, Chordata, Mammalia, Carnivora, Ursidae. The record is from Ensembl.